This 1197-nucleotide ribosomal RNA is filed under the name Triticum aestivum (bread wheat). Its description in RNAcentral is "partial small subunit ribosomal RNA". The record is from RNAcentral. Lineage: Eukaryota; Viridiplantae; Streptophyta; Magnoliopsida; Poales; Poaceae.
GACCUCUGGGAGGCCUUCAAGAAGCGUGUGCCUGUCUCCGGCUACGACGACAUCAAGCCGUACGUGGAUCGUAUCGCCUCCUCCAGCCCCACUAAUCUUCUCUGCUCCGAGCCCAUCACCCACCUCCUCAGAAGCUCGGGCACAUCUGGUGGCAAGCAGAAGAUCUUCCCGUCCACCGCCGAGGAGCUCGACCGGAAGCUCUUCUUCUAUGGUGUCCAGGCACUCGUGAGGAACAUGCAUUUACAUGCUGACCAGGAGAGCAAGCGCGGCAUGGGGAUGCGCCUCACCCUCACCUUCCCCGUCGAACACACGCCGUCCGGCCUUCAGGUCCAGUGCACCAGCCCCAUGGAGGCCAUCCUCUGCCCGGACGCCGAGCAGAGCAUGUACUGCCAGCUGCUCUGCGGCCUGCUCAACCGCGACUCCGUGAACCACGUCGGCACCUCCUUCGCCAACAGCUUCGUCCGAGCCAUCAAGUUCCUGGAGCAAAACUGGGAGGAGAUGUGCUCCGACAUCCGCACCGGCAGCCUCAGUGGCCGGAUAACGCAUGCGCCCCUGCGUGACGCCGUCAUCCAGCGAUACCUGCGAGGGCCCGAUCCGGCACUGGCUGACGCGGUCGCGUCGGAGUGCGCUGCUAGGCCCUGGGACGGUAUUGUCACCAGGCUAUGGCCGCGGGCACGGUGUGCCCUCACCAUAGUCACCGGCUCCAUGGCGCAGUACAUUCCGAUCCUCUGGAGCUACUGCGGUGGCCGGUUGCCGACAGUCUCGCCCUGCUAUGCAUCUACCGAGUGUGCCGCCGGAGUCAAUCUAAGGCCUCUCGACCCGCCCAGCCAUGCGUCGUAUGCGUUGCUUCCUAACAUCGCCUACUUUGAGUUUGUCGAGAUACAGCCUCGUGAUGAAGAAACUCCUACUGUUGAUGACGAUGGCGAUCCCGGUGAGAUGAAGCUUGUAGAUCUUGUGGAUGUCAAAAUUGGUCAGACCUAUGAGCUGGUUGUCACCACCUUUGCAGGUCUUUACAGGUACCGAGUUGGUGACCUUCUCACCGUGACUAGCUUCUAUAAUGCAACACCAUUGUUCCACUUCUCGGGACGACAUGAUGUUAUCUUAAGUAUAGACCAUGAGAAGAUAAGCGAGGAGGAACUACUCAGGGCAAUUUCACAGGCUAUUGAGCUCCAUCUUGGCCCUCUUGGAUACAUGCUC